RNAcentral lists this long non-coding RNA (11439 nucleotides) under Aquilegia coerulea. Its description in RNAcentral is "long non-coding RNA (ACOE_LNC001216)". Lineage: Eukaryota; Viridiplantae; Streptophyta; Magnoliopsida; Ranunculales; Ranunculaceae. The record is from RNAcentral.
UACAACAUAUUUUGAUUAAAGCUGUUUGUUUAUGUAAAUUCCGGAUUCAUGUUGGCAGUGGACUAACUUAGGGAAUUAGAAAAUGUUAUAUAAAUUGUACGGUAAAAACUUCCAUCAUUGAUCAUCACAACAUAGGCAGUACUGACGGACAGCCAAAAUUUCUCUUGAGUUGUCCUCCUAAAAUAGUUUAUUAGUUCUCUCCCUUUUCAAAUCCUGUUAAAAAUGGCCACUGGUGCAUGACUGUCUCCUCAUCUGCUUGGCAGCUUAACCUUCAUUAUAAACCAAGUGUUAGGACCUUUCCUCAGUUCAGACAUUAGAUAAAGGAAUCUCAUCAUAUAAGCAACUCUCGUUUCAACAUACAUUACAUGAUAAUUUACCCUGUAGUCUGCACUGAGAAUAUGGUGGUAGUAGUUGUACUACCUAGUCUAUUGUACUGUAUUAUGGAGUGUACUAGUUGCUGUGGAAUGACAAUUUGCAUACAUUCAUUAUAAGCAGAUUACAUAACUGGAUGUACCAGUAUAUGAGGGGCACAGGCAUGCCAAAUGCAGCCACACACUUUCAAUGUGAUGCUGCUCUGCACAACCCUGAAAUACCACAAGCUGGUAUGUCUUAAACUUUUGCUUAUUUAUUUUUUCUUCAAAAAUGUUCCAACAAAAAAUAUAGCUAUUGAUCGUGAUUUUCUGCAGGGAAAAAAAAAACGGACCCAUUUAAGGUGUGGAAAUAUAAGAUUGGACCAGUUAGGGAACUAAUGGUAAAAUAGGCCCAACCGCUGAUUUCCGUGUCUUAUGGACUAGUUUACCCUUCGACUGAUGCAAAGACUUGUUUGCAUAUCAUAAACAUAUAAACAUACUUAUUUAUAUCAGUCACAAUACAAAUAUAAAAUGCAAAGACUUGUUUGCAUACUUACAAACAACAACAUAAACCAUAAACAUUAAAUGCAAAGAAUUGUUUGCAUACUCGAAACGACAACAAGAUAAACUAGAAAAUGUAAAGACUUGUUUGCAUUAGUCACAACACAUAAAGAUUAAAUGCAAAAACUUGUUUGCAUACUCGAAACAAUGACAUACCAUAAAAAUGCAAACAUUUGUUUGCAUAAACCAGAAGGGUAUUAUCGGUAGUGAAAGAGCCGUUUUUACAAUAUCAACGUUAAAUGGGUCUUUUCUUAUUUUACAAAUGCUUAAUGAGGGCCAAUAUUAUAAACCGGGCCUUAGUUGGGCCAAUUGUGUUUUAUAGGUGCUUAAUGAGGGCCUAGAACCACUUCCGUGGAUUUUCUGUGAAACAACAUGAUUCAACCUGAACAUACUACAACCGGGGAUACAGGAUCCUGACCUGGACCAUGCACAUAGAGAGCAUCCCCAUGUGGGCAUGCCCUUUCAGCACAGACUUUACCCUGAGAACAUAAAUCAGCAACAACGUGCGGUGGUACAGCAACAUCAGAAGCAGAAUAUACUAUAUUUUUGAGUCAUAGUAUAAACGAAAUUUUUAUUUACACAUUGUUGAAAAGGACUUACUAGCUAUUAUAUGCUAAAUAGGCACCCCCAACAUAAAAACAUAAAAGUUUUACAUGUCAUGAAACUAUUAUCAACAACAGCUUACAAACUGGAUAUCAUAUAUCCUUACCUUGUGUCAAUUGUCUACUAAUAUCAUCCCAACAACUCCUAGUCAGCAGGAUGACAUGACUUUCGUUGUUAUAGUUCAUUCUCUGGAAAGAAGCUGUAAAUCAGAAAAGAUAAUGUCUUUUGGUAAAUGGGUAAAUAUUAAAAAAAGAAAAAUCAUGGUUUGAGUCGAAGAUAGAAUCCAAAUGUUUGUAAAAACAAAAAGGUCUAAGCUGAGAUAGAGGAUUCAACACCCUCUUGUAUUUAAUCGAAGGACAUAGGAGAAAAGAUGGAGUAAAACAAGCUCUGCAAUAUAAUUCUGAAGCGACACAUAUGUAACAAGUGAAUGUCAUACAAUAAUCACCGGAAUGUCCACUUAGCUUGCAACAAGUGAAUUGUUAUACGACCAGUCAGUAGAAUAACUAACUAAUUAAGAUGCUAUAUUGAGUAAAUAUUACAAAUACAGAAAACUUUUUCAUAAAAAAACUAAUUGUUAUGUGAAGAUAGGGAGGCUGAUAUAUAAAAUAUAAACAAUUAACUUGUAAUACUACGACAGAAAUGGAUUAAAUCUGAGCUGCAAAUUUAAUCAAUGAAACGAACAAAAUACAUCUAGAAAUUUAUUAGUGCUUAGCAAAUCCAUUCCAGAUUCGCUAGACAAGUACACAUCAUAUAUGUUUUAUCAAUAUUUUAAACAGAAGUCGCAUAUGCUGAUACGCGUACUCAUGGAAAUAAAAGACCAGGUUCAUGGUGGUGCCAUUUCCAAACCUCGGAAACAAAUAUAAAAGCAAACACUAAACAAGCAAAAAAAAAAGAAGACAGUUUGGGAGAUUAUAACUGGAAUAAAAAAAAAUGGCAAAGAUCAUGACAGCAAAAAGACCCAAGCUGUAGCCUAAAGUGUAAAGACCAAUAUAAGUAUACAACCACAAAGAUCACAUUUUGUUUUAUGAAGUUAUGAUCAAUAACAAUUUGUAAUAUACAGUAUAGUGUAUACAAAAAGGAGAAGGGUAUUAUGAAAUCAGUGACUGAAGCAGUAAGCAAUUACUACAUUGUUUUGAGCACGGUUUAGAGGCAAUAAUGUAUGUGGAUUGACCAAAACAAUCUAAUUUUGAGCAUAACUUGUUUCUUUUGAUGUGCUGAACAACUAAAUGUACUGUUGAUGUUCUACAAAAGUCAAAUUAGAUAACAGGGUAUUGGGAAUAUUGUCUGCAUAUGGUUUAUUAGAACUUUUUAUAAACAUGAUGGAUGAUUUAACUUGAUUUGAAAGCCUUAUUAAUCAUCACUCAGAUAUAUUGCUUCAUGGAUCUAACUGACAUGUUGUUUUGUUCCACAACUUUUUAUGGAGUUACAAACAUUAGAAUCUACAAUAUCGCAUUGUCAAAUGGCACAACAAACAAGAAAAAUAACUCAAUGAUGAAUAAAAAUCAAACCUUUAUAACAAUUUCACUUCAUCUGAUCUCUUUUACUAUUAAUUUUCUUAUAUAUAUAUAUAUAUAUAUAUAUAUAUUGAAACAUUGGAAUUUUUUCAGACUGAUAUAGUUAAAUCGAUACAUAAUAAGCAGACAAAACUAACCAAAUAUGAAGAUUUAUUUCAAUCUAAAACGAAAUGUUUGAAAGCUUCACCUUUUCGAGACUUUUUGUGGUUUUGUUUUAGUCAAGAGUUGAAGACGAAGAGAGAGAGAGAGAUCUGAGCUUACUUGUUUUGGGUUCAUUGAUCUCACUAAUUAAUCUGAUGACUAGGAUAAUUUUUGAAACGAUUAAGGAAACGGAAAAAAUUACUUAUUACUAGGGUUUGGUAAAACUAUUUAUUUGACAAAAACUAUGGACCAGUCAACGUACUUAUCAGUACAUGGCCAUGCUCAGUGCAUAAGUGUCACAUGUUUUCUAAUUGUGUUACCAAUACUACCCCUCUCACUAAACAAUUCCAUAGAACAAAAUUGGUAAUUAUCCCUUAAGGAGAGCCAGCCGCAGGGCUUGACUGCUUGAGCCACCCAACUCAAAGUGUUCAAAGUGAAAAUACGGCUGCACAAAACUACAUCAAAUACAAAUAUAGAAAAUAGCUAAUUAGUAAUUGAUCCAAACUUUAUUAUUUAUUAGUAAAUGGUCCCAAAAUCUGUUAGUCAACACGAUUUACUCAAGUCAAACCAUCCAUAAAUUUUUAAUGUCGAAAUUUCCCUUUCAAAAAGUGAAAUUUUAAAAAUUGAAUUUUAGGUGUUUUUUUUUUUUUGGUGUGUUUUAGAUCUUAGAAAUCAAUGGCGGCUUCAUCAUCAAGAAGAAAUCUGGAUUGAAUUAAAGGACCAUGGAAUCCAAAAGAAGAUGCUUUGGCACAAAUGCUUGUUAAAAUUCAAAAUAGAUUUGUUGUUGAUUUCAAAAUCAAUUCGAAGUAGAUCUGGUGUAAGGACCCUUCUCCACAAACGAUGUCAUCUUCUUCUACUUCUUCAACUUCAAUGAAUAACUCCUCUAUGAUGAUGAUAAAUAACGAAGACAAAGAUAAGCAAGUGUUGGAACAACGAUUCUGAUGAGUUCAUCUUCUGGAUCGGAUUGGAUUUAAGUGAUUCAAGUAUUCCUUCACGGCUUCACUUGUUAUUUAUCAACUUGUUGCUAAACUUGUUAUCAACUAUCACAAGAAUACAAGCAUAGCUGUUGCUGGUAUUAUUUGUAGGAAUUCAGAUGCGACAUUAAAGCAUGUGCAUACUAGAAAUUCAUGGCAAGAACAAUAGAGAAGACAAAAACAUGUGUGGCAGAGAUAGGAGUACAAAUAAUAUGUUAUGAAUCUUGGCAAAAAUUUAAGUGGUGUGAUAUACUUUGUAAUAAGGAAUAAUUAAGUGUAGCCCCAAUUAUUCUAAACCACCAUCUGAUCAACAACAACAACCAAUGCAAUAGGUUUCUCCUUGAUUAUCGUAUAUUACACAUGGUAAUUAAUUUUAUGUAUUUAAGUUAAGUUAUCACGUGUUGGACAUGGAAUGGGUAGUUGUCACGACCCGAAUUUAAAAAAAUAAAAUAAACCCAGGCCGCAACAAUUUCUAACUCAUAAACCAGGUACAACAAAAUAACUUACGCCAACAAAAUACAUGUAUACCACUUUCAAAUAAAAUACAUCCUUUAAACAUCUAAAGAUCUCUACCGGUCCUAACAAGCGGUCUGUCACAGCUCCAUAGCUCUAACCUCUCCUGCCUGCAUUCCAAAUGGAACACACCCACGUACAAAACAAGCAACAUGGGUCAGCAUAAAAGCUGGUAUGAGUAAACAAGGGGGAAAUCUAUUCCCACAAAAUAACAUAAUAAAUAUAAAGUUCCAACAUAUGAUUAACAACAUAAUUAACCUUAACGAGCCAUUCUUCCAUGCUAAGACAUUAAGCAUACGCCAAAAACCAUAUCAAUUCCAUUAUAUUUAAACUCUUUAUCCAUUAUAUAAUCACCUGUUUAAUUCCAUUAUUCAAUUGUAAUUUAUCUAUUUACGAUGUUAAUUGAUCAAUAAUAUAAAUACAUUACCUAAGCAGCAACUGUCUUUAAGGAUAGGUUUAUCCACCUGCACAAAAUAAAUUAGUCGACCUAUCCACCUGCAAAAUAGAGUUAAUACAUAAUAGACAAAUAUAAUAAAGCUCAGCCAAAUCACAUACACGCUACGUGUUAUCUAAUACUUUGUAUCAACUUGAAAUAUACAUUCUGUUUACUCAAACCAUUAAUAAUGACUCAUUCCAACUCUGCAUAGUUUGCAAUCUACCAAAAUGACAGGUCCAAUUAUGACUAUUAAUUCCCAUAAUAAAUAAAACAUCGCAGUUCUUCCAUAUAAUCAUAAUUACCUCCGGUUCAUAAUCAAAAUAUAUAAAAUUUACCUAUAUCAUUAAUUAACACCAAACACUACAAUACCAUGAGCCUUAGCACACUACCAAACAACGAAUCAAAAGCCACAAAACCACGUCCUGGCUUCUAGCCGGUGCUCGGGUUUAACAAUCACAAAAAAAAUCACAACAUAUGCCCAAUCACUAGUACACCUCCCACAGGAUGCACUCCACACAUUUGCCAUACCCACACUGCACCAGUGUGCCUUGACCAUGGUUAAAAACCUCUACGCGGAAACCAAAACCCAAGUGGGUGCUCACCUGCAAGCUUUGGCUAGCCUCGACGUAUGCCUAACUCAUGAUCUCUAAUAGCUCCGUUGAGCUUUCUAAUGUGGCGCCCAGACCAACCCCGAAGGCUAUGAUGGUCUGAAGGGUUAGUUCCGCAGGCUAAGCCGUCUAGGAAAUACCCAAAUAUAAUCCAAGAGUCAACCCGCAGGCUAAGCCGUCUAGGGUGAUAAUUAAUUUCUUUAACCUAAUUCCAGAGGUGCGGCAAAUGUACUAAUGCUUGGGCGACUACCAAAACAACUAAACUAAUCAACCAAUCACACAACCAUUUUCAAACAAUUAAAUUCCCAGUCCAUUUCGUAUUCCUUUCUUAUUUUUUCAAAUUGUAUAUAUACCGUCCAUGGUAUCAAGCCAUUCCAAGGCAUUUACUAAUAAAUUCUUCCAUUUCAAAAAUACCCCUCUAAUAAAUAUAGUUCUAAUAGCCAUUACAAUCAUUAAUAUGCAUAACCAAAAAAAAUUAAUAUCCACGUUCACUACAAGUCCAUUAAACAUGUUCCGUAUACUGUCAAUACUGUCAAGUUCAUAUCAAAAUUAGGACACGAAAUCAAUAAUUUCCUAUGUGUCCUGAUAUAUAUAUACCCCAUACAGUAAGAAAAGAAAGGUCUGCAAGUCGGCAAAGUUAACUAUACUGUUAUAGGAAAAUAUCAAAUUUUCGAAACCCAUAUCAUGGCAAAAUGGUGUAUACUGUACUAAAAAUUCAUCACAACAUAGAAGUCCAAUCCUUACUAUAGUACUUAUAUAACAGUGUAUGGAUAUCAACAAAAACAAAAAAUAAAAAUAUACAUAUAUACUAUUCCAAUAACUCGGCAACACCUCGCAAUCAGUAAUCAAAUAUAAUCCAUGUUUCAGGAAUUUCAACUUAUAAAGCUCAGCUACAUUAAUCUGAUUAACAUGAUAGAUAUAGGGAAUGAAUUUGACCACCAAUAUAGAUAGAAAAACAAAAUUAUUUUAUAUACAAUUCACCAUCAUCAUGUAAAGAUGUAAUAUGUAUAGAAGUCUAAACCAACAGCAAACAUACUCUCAUAUACCCCACCACUAAGAUCAUAAUCAUAUAGUUUAAUCAACUUAAAGUAAUUUAACAAAAUAAAUCCACUCACCGUUACUGCUGCUCUUCUUCUUCUACUGGUCUGCAACUCGCAGAAAACACCGACACCACCCCACAGUCAUUGUUUCUUGUUCUUCUCCCUACUUCUAAACUCUGCAACUCCGGUUUCCCGCAACUGCAACUCCAACUUUCAGCAACUCUAACCGCAGUGCCGCCCUCUCUCUCUCUCUCUCUCUCUCUCUCUCUCUCUCUCUCUCUCUCUCUCUCUCUCUCUUUGCAAAAACCUUCUAAUCAGAUAUAUAACUAAUAAUCUAACCUAAGAUGGUUCAUCCAACGAACCUGAUCGAUUUGAGAUUGUGAUCCCAUUGUGAUCGUGAUUCUGAACUUCAAGCAAACCAGAUCCGUUCGUGGGUUGUUUUCUUCAAGUUUUGGUUUAUUAAACCAUAGUCCCUCCAAUUUAUACUAAUUAUUAAUAAACCCUUGACCCAGGGACUUAUACUUAAUUAUUUUAUAACUUCAAAUUAAAUUUAAAUAAGCAUUAAAAAUGGUGUUUUACAGUAGUCUAGACACUAAGAAAAUAUAGAUGCUUUAACUUGAAUCAACGAUGUUGAUUGACAGUCAAAUAACGAUUUUUGGACUAUUUGCUAAUAAACAAUAAAAUCUGGAUCAUGUGCUAAUUACCAAUUUUUUAGGGGGACCAAAUACAAAAUAACCCAAAUAAAUAUGCAUGGAAGGCAUUCAAAACUUCUUAAUUAAUAAUGGAAUUGUGUAAGAUUAAGUGUCAUAAAAUUAAAAAAUUCCUUAUUAAAAAAACAUAGUGAGAAUUCAUAUUCUUUGUUGCAAUUUGCAAAUCAACAUUGUGGAUAUGUUUAUGGUUUCUGUAAGUCUGCUCUGCAGCUUACACCAUGAAAUUUGUGAAGACUGGAUGCUCACCUAGUUCUUCCUCCUAAUCGCUGCAAAACACACCGGUGUUGAUGCCGGCAUUAGCACUCCAACGGUUAAGUUAGUAUUGAGUAAGAAGAAGAAGAAGACUUAAUGUAACAGUGUAGUAUAAGUGAAAAAACAUACCUUAACCUUUGGGUUUUUACUAAUUUAUAGAGUGUAGAUGCUUGCUCUCAUGUCCGUCAAAUCAGGUUUAGAUCCAACGAUGCUUGUAAGGCUACGUGUAACCUUCCUAGCCUUAGGUUUAGUCUUAGCUAUAUUCCAUGACGGACCACGUGGAAGUCACGUGAUCCGUACACUUUGUCUCUUCUGGUCUAUCUGGUACGCCUAAUCUUAGGUUAAUAUCUAUGACUCUUGGUACGAUGAGCACCAAGUGUAGUCCGGCAUAAUGAUGCACUUACAGUUUCUAAUUAAUUUAAUUUUUGUUAUAGAAUACAAAAAAUUUAAACAAUUUGAAUCUCAAUUAAGAUUUAAAUCAAAGAAUUCUAAUCCAAUGUUUUUCACAACUAUUUUGAGAAAAAUCUAUAUGAGUUCUAGUUGUAAUUAAUUUAUAAUAUAAAUUCUCUAAGUAUUAAUUUGUGUAUUUUUUUAGCACUAGUGUUGAUGUUUUUUUUUUCUUCUAUUCUUUUUUUUUAUUAUUAUUAAAAUUUGGGUUGCUCUUAGUAUAUUAAUGCACUUAGGUGUGAUUAAUUUUUUGUGGCCUGCCUUUAAGAUGUUGGAUAGCUCUUUGUAAAACAAUGGGUGUCAAUCUGAUUUUCCUAAAAGUAUCGACCUUUAAGUCUAUAACUAAGUUGACUGAUAAAAUGGGACUUAAAAAAUGGUUUAGUUACAAGUUGCAACGAGACAAUGGGAAAAUAGUGAUAACCCAUUUAUUUUGUAGUGGACUAGUUAUGAAUAGCUUCAGUUUCUACUGAUGUUUUUGAUUUGGAUGAACUUGGGGUUGAACUAACAAAUAAUGGAAACAAUGGAAAGAAUAAUGGAAGACCCAUUAGCUUAUAACAACAACUGGAAAUUAUCAGUUCGUCACUCAAUUACAAUUGAAGUCCUUCCAUUCUUUUUCAUUAAUUUUAUAAAAUAAAUCAAGAUUCAAGCUUUCUUCAACUAUUUCUUUAUCCGUUUCAACUGAAUCCAAAAUCUCAUUUUCACUAGAGGUUGAAACACGAGGGGAUGACGAGAAAUUUUAUUGGUUUUCACUUUUCACAUUGGUAUCCAAUAGCAGUUGUGUGUAAUAUGAGAAAAUUAGACUUAACCCCCCCUAUUUUGUCCACAUUUUGAAUAAACCCCCCAUAUGUCCAAAUUUUGACUUUACCCCCUCUCCGCCAACUCCCGUCUAAGUUAACACCUAUUUACAUUUUUUCUUCCUAAAAUACCCCUCCCUUGUUUUUUUGAGGGGUUAAGUCUAAGAAGAAAGUGGGGGGUAUUUUAAAAAGAAAAAAAUGCAAAUAGGUGUUAACUUGGAUGAAAACUGACUGAAGGGAGGUAAAGUCCAAACUUGGACAAAUAGGGGGUUUUAGUCAAAACGUGGACUAAAUAGGGGGGUUAAAUCAAAAUUUCCCGUGUAAUAUAGAUAAGAGAGUUCAUCAUGCUAGAAGAAAUAUAUGUCUUGAUAUUUUGGUAACGGUGGUGAACUGGUGAUUUAAAAAAAAAUCCAUUGUUGAUUUUACCUUACUUGCCAUCAUUUUUAAAAGGGAUAAAGUUUUUGUGUUUUGUUGAUAGAGUUGUUGUUUGAGGUUGAAAAAAAGAAAUAACAGGGAGAAACAGAGGAGAGUGGAGGAGGAGGAAGAAGAAAGAAUAUAAAUAAAGGCGAAGAAGAAAUAGUUGGAGGGGUAGUAUAGGUAGAGUAAUAUGCCACCUAUGCACUGAGGACGAGCCAAUGUACUGGCCAGUCAUAAUUUACCAGUCAAAAUAGUGACUAGUCCAUAUUUUUAUUGAAAGUAGUUUUUGGGCAAUAAGUUUUCCAAACCGUAGUUAUAGGUAAUUUUUCGUAUUAAAAGAGCAAAACUGGAAUUUCAUAAAAAUAUAUUGUACUCAAUCAUUAUGGCUUAUGUGGCUUAUAUGUCUCCUAUAUUAUUGAAAACUAGAGUGUUAGCCACUGGUUAAUUUUAAUUUAUCAGUAUAUGGUUAUUAUUGGAGUUUUCAGUUAAUAAUUAUAGGCCCUAAUUAUACUCGUACGCCAGUAAAAAUUAUAAAUUAGAAUAAUUUAUUAAAUUUUAUGAAACAAAUUUGGGUAAUUUUUUUAAUAUUUAUUUUAUAGGAUUUUACUGUUAAAAAUUAUUAGUUCUCAUAAUAUUUUGUUAAUUUGAAUAUCUAUUUAAUAUUGGGCCUCUUGCUCAUAAAUAAAAAUUUUAGCCCAUAAAUAAUAAUAUAUUAAAUUAUGAUAAAACUAUUACUUAAAAAGUAUUAUGUUAAUUUACCAAAAAACCAUGAUUAAAAAGGUAUUAUAGUCAGAUUUAUGUCAUAAGACUGGGGAAUACCUUUGAAAACUUUAUAAUAGUAAAAUAGAUAGAUUGUCAAUUUGCAAUGAGAUUUUAGCAUAGUGCACUGUAUGACCUAUCAAUUGAUUCAAUUCCAUCCAUGCAUUUAUGGUACAGAUUUUGUUGAGCAACGUAUCACUUGCUAAUGUCAAUGUCAACUUGGUCCUAUUCUUGGAAAUUUUAUGAACAUGUGCUUGAAUGUUUUUCUGAAAAUAGUUCUAGGAUCUCAUUAAGUCAAUGCAUAAAACACAAAUGGCCCAAUUAAGGCUCGAUUUAUAAUAUUGGCUCUGAUUAAGCAUUUAUUUAAUAAGAAAGUACAUAUUUAAUGUUGAAAUUAUAAAAACGACCCUUUUACUAUUGAUAAUACCCUUCUAGUUUAUGCAAACAAUUUUUUGUAUUUUAUGGUUUGUGGGGUUGUUGUUGCAAGUAUACAAACAAGUCUUUGCAUUUUAUAUUUACGUGUGAUGUGACCGAUGCAAAUAGAUGUUUACAUUUUUAUGUUUUAUGUGGUUGUUGUUGCGAGUAUGCAAAUAACUCUUUGCAUUUAAUGUUAAUUUAUGUGUGGUGACUGAUGCAAACAAGUCUAUUUAUGUGUGUAACUGAUGUAAACAAAUUUUUACAUUUUAAUGGUUGUGACUGAUGCCAACGAGUCUAUUUAUGUACGUGACUAAUGCAAACAAGUCUUUGCAUCAAUAAAAAAAAAAAAAAAAAUCUCCAUCACUAAAUCCAAUUUCAGUUGUUCGUCCAAUCACAAUAAAUCAAGUCUACAAUGAAAAAUCAAAUAGUUCCGAAGCUUUAACAAAGGUUUGCCUGUACACACUUACAGAGAAGUGGUGUAAACAAAAGGCAACUGAUACAAAUUUAAACUCAAAUAGCUAGUACUUGUUUGCGCUUCUCUUCCACCAUAAUCUCUGUUCAACAAACACAAUGGGGUUCCACCUUUCUCUUCUCUAUUUAUUCUCACAAAUCCAUACAGAAAUCAAUUUUCUUAACAAUUCAAUGAAGAAGAUGACGAAUAUGGAAGCAUUAGAAUUGAUAGAAGGAAUUAUUGGAAUUUCAAUCAACCUCAUCGACUCACAUUCGAAUUAAAAAUUCUUCUUUAUAAUCCUCUUUGAUGUAAAACCAAAACUUAUAAUUCAAUUAUAAACUGUCAUCCGUAAUUUUAUUGCUAAAAACUUGGAUCUGUAGUUUUUGUUAUUAUGUGAAGGGGGGAGGGGGAGAGAGUAUGGUUGAUGAGGAGAGAAGAAAGAAAACGAGGAA